GACGAACCGAGCGAACGUUGUUCGGAAUCACUGGGCGUAAAGGGCUCGUAGGCGGUCUGUUGCGUCGGGAGUGAAAACUUACAGCUUAACUGUGAGCGUGCUUUCGAUACGGGCAGACUUGAGGCAUUCAGGGGAGAACGGAAUUCCUGGUGUAGCGGUGAAAUGCGUAGAUAUCGUAAGGAAGACCAGUGGCGAAGGCGGGUCUCUGGACAGUUCCUGACGCUGAGGCACGAAGGCCAGGGGAGCAAACGGG
Molecule: ribosomal RNA, 253 nt
Filed under: uncultured bacterium
Lineage: Bacteria
Description: partial 16S ribosomal RNA
Rfam family: Bacterial small subunit ribosomal RNA
Source: RNAcentral